UACAGAGGGGGCAAGCGUUGUUCGGAAUUACUGGGCGUAAAGGGCGCGUAGGCGGCCUGCUAAGUCGAACGUGAAAUCCCUGGGCUCAACCCAGGAACUGCGUCCGAUACUGGUUGGCUUGAAUCCGGGAGAGGGAUGUGGAAUUCCAGGUGUAGCGGUGAAAUGCGUAGAUAUCUGGAGGAACACCGGUGGCGAAGGCGGCAUCCUGGACCGGUAUUGACGCUGAGGCGCGAAAGCCAGGGGAG
RNAcentral lists this ribosomal RNA (245 nucleotides) under uncultured Acidobacterium sp. Its description in RNAcentral is "partial 16S ribosomal RNA". It matches the Rfam family "Bacterial small subunit ribosomal RNA", at positions 524 to 768 of the family's 1533-position model. Lineage: Bacteria; Pseudomonadati; Acidobacteriota; Terriglobia; Terriglobales; Acidobacteriaceae. The record is from RNAcentral.